This 930-nucleotide ribosomal RNA is filed under the name Protogarypinus sp. SA MSH-2023b. Its description in RNAcentral is "partial large subunit ribosomal RNA". Lineage: Eukaryota; Metazoa; Arthropoda; Arachnida; Pseudoscorpiones; Garypinidae. The record is from RNAcentral.
GGGAGGCAACACUCUCUGAUUGCAGCUGGUGGUGCAAGUCCCCAUGAGAGGGGCAUGCUACCCGUAGCGGGUGCUAGGCCCGUAACGCCGCUGGCUGCGCGCGGAGUCGUUGUUCUCCUACGAGUCGGGUUGCUUGGGAGUGCAGCCCAAAGUGGGUGGUAAACUCCACCUAAAGCUAAAUAAGACCGAGAGACCGAUAGCAAACAAGUACCAUGAGGGAAAGUUGAAAAGCACUUUGAAGAGAGAGUUCAAGAGUACGUGAAACCGUUCGGAGGUAAACGGGUGGGGCCUCGAAGUCCGAUGGCGGUGGUGGAUUCAGCCGAGGAAGGGAAUGCACUUUGCAAGUCGCGCCCCACGACGGGGAGGACGGCAAGGUCGAGGACAUACCCAGAAUUGGCGCAUUUCCACGCUCCGCCUGUAGGGCGUCGCAAUGGKUGGAUGGCCGUCGAAAGGAUGAGUUGGAAGGUGCCCGCCUUUUCUCUUGAGGAUUGCGGUGUUUACAGACGACUCUAGUCCCUGGCGGCUGUGUGGCCAUGGUGCCUGCGUUCCCUCCCACCGAAAGGGAGCGGCCGCUGCGCUAAACACUCGAUGCACCAAGGUGCCACCAUGUGGGUGAACCGUGUGUAUUCUUGCGUUUCAGUGUUGGUGUGGGCUGCUGUGGAACUGAAGGUUAGCGGCGAGUAGGUCGGUUACCCACCCGACCCGUCUUGAAACACGGACCAAGGAGUCCAAUGCGCGUGCGAGUUCCCGGGACUUGAUUAGGCCCGAGGGCGCAAUGAAAGUAAAGUUCUCUUGUAGAACGAGUUGGGAUCCAUCCCUUUGGGGGUGGCGCACCAACAGCCCGUCUCGACCGGUUACGGUGGGGCGGAGCUUGAGCACGUGCCUUGGGACCCGAAAGAUGGUGAACUAUGCCUGGGCAGGACGAAGCCA